CCUCCUUCCCUCCUCGCAGCCCCAAAACCCGCGACCCCUCUCCGACCCCUCCCGGCGCCCUCCCCUCCCCGCACCACCGCACCUUCCCAUCUCCCACCCUUCCCAACGCCCGCCUCGGCAGGGAUGCGGCCCUAAGACUUGCAGGAAGCGCGGGUUCGACCCCGGCGCCCUAGCAACCCCUGCCCUCGCCGCUCUAGAGAGCGGGUCUCCUGGCCGGGCCCUCCUGGGUCUCCGUAGCCGCGAUCGCCAGACGCGGCGAGCGGAAGGGCCCAGCCCCGCCCUCUCCGGGCACAUGACUCGGGCCUGGCCAUUCACAGUGCAGCAUCGUCCAGCCUUAGUGAUUGGGCCAUCGGAGAGCACGUGACAACAGCUAGGCCAAUUAGAGCUAGGCCAAUUAGAGACCACCCGUUUCUAUUUAUGGUGGAGCCGGCGAUCGGCGUGCGGUUGGAAGUGGUGUCCCUGAGGCACCUGCUCGCCCUUUUCCUGCGCCUCCGCAACGUCGGCUGCGAAUGAGUCUCCUAAAGGACGCCCGGGAGGAUCGGAAACAGCCGAGUCCCGGCGCGGGCAGUGUCCUGCGCUCCUCCCCGGGGUCUGGCCGGGGUGGGCCCGAGGCCCCCGGGCCCCCGGUUACCGCCGCGGGCGCGUCUGCGUCCUGACCCGGAGGGACCCGCGGGCCGGGCCGUACCAGUGAUGCAAGAUGGUCCUUUCUGAGCAGAGCUCCCCUCGCUCAGUGCUCCUUUGUUUCACGUAGAAGAUCUUCUUGAGGGGACUGUGUGGCCAGUGCAGCCCAGGCCUCCCCACCCUGCACCGUUCAACAGAAGAGCAGCUGACGCAGGGGGCCCUCAACAUGCUCACCCAAAAGUCAGCGAGAUUCUGCACCGGCCCACUAGCCUUCCAAUUGUAAACUAAAAAUAAAAUCUUGGCCAGGCACGGUGGCUCAUGCCUGUAAUCCCCGCACUUUGGGAGGCAGAGGCAGGUGGAUCACCCUGAGGUCAGGGGUUCGAGACCAGCCUGGCCAACAUGGCAAAACCCCGUCUCUACUAAAAAUACAUAAAAAUUAGCCAGGCGUGGUGGCACACACCUGUAAUUCCAGCUACUCGGGAGGCUGAGGCAGGAAAAUCGCUUGAACCUGGGAGGCAGAGGUUGCAGUGACCUGAGAUCGUGCCACUGCACUCCAGCCUGGGUGACAAUGAGACUCCAUCUCAAAAAAAAAAAAGAAAAAAAAAUCCUAAGCCCCCCAACUACUGAAAAGACCCCUCUUGGCCAAGGGGUCCCAGAGACACCUUAAAAACUGAGUUUCCAGCCAGACGUGGUGGCUCACACCUGUAAUCCCAGCAUUUUGGGAGGCCAAGGCGGGUGGAUCACCUGAGGUCAGGAGUUCGAGACCAGCCUGGCCAACAUGGCAAAACCCCGUCUCUACUAAAAAUACAAAAAAAUUAGCCAGGUGUGGUGGUGGAUGCUUGUAAUUUCAGCGACUCUGGAGGCUGAGGCAGGAAAAUUGCUUGAAUCUGUUUCAGUGAGCCAAGAUCGUACCACUGCACUCCAGCCUGGGCAACAGAGUGAGACUCCAUCUCAAAAAAAAAAGCCAAAAAACUGAGUUUCCAGCCGUGACGGGAUGGUAGGUCAGAGGCACCUCAUUCUACCCCCUCCCUUGUGUGGUUUAGACAGAAUUGACCGGUGUUCAUGUUAAAAUAGAGAUCAUAAGACUAAGAACAGGCUCUGUGGCAAUAAAAUACCAAAUUAUAAACAGGACCUCAGGCCAGGCCUGGUGAAAGUAAGUCGUGCAUCCCUGCACGUGAAGAAUCAACUCUGUUCUAAAGGCCGCAGGUUUCUCUUUUUCUGUAGCAGCUAAACAAGCACUAGCCUCAAGAUAAGCAGCAUUGAAACAACCGCAGCUCCUCCCCCUGCCGACCCUGGCCCCACACCCCUGCUCCACCAGCCGUAACUAGAGCUUUCCUUGGACAAGAGACUCGUUUCAGUAACUUUUCCCUGAUAAGAGACCCUGACCAUAGACGGGUUCUGGCUGGUUUACAGAGAUUGCACCCUCAUGUGCCUUCAUGUCCUGAAAGUACUUUUUGAGGUAUACCACCUAAUUGUAAUACGCUUACAUGCUGCCUUCACCCCAAGGUGAACAUGGGUCAUAUGUAACAUGCAUGUUUAUCCAGCACACGUGUCCGAAUAAACAUGCAUGUAUAUUCGCAACGCC
This 2206-nucleotide long non-coding RNA is filed under the name Homo sapiens (human). RNAcentral's name for it is "HSALNT0392239". The record is from RNAcentral. Lineage: Eukaryota; Metazoa; Chordata; Mammalia; Primates; Hominidae.